UAGGGGGCAAGCGUUAUCCGGAUUUACUGGGUGUAAAGGGUGCGUAGACGGGAAAUUAAGUUAGUUGUGAAAUCCCUCGGCUUAACUGAGGAACUGCAACUAAAACUGGUUUUCUUGAGUACUGGAGAGGAAAGUGGAAUUCCUAGUGUAGCGGUGAAAUGCGUAGAUAUUAGGAGGAACACCAGUGGCGAAGGCGACUUUCUGGACAGUAACUGACGUUGAGGCACGAAAGUGUGGGGAGCAAA
This 245-nucleotide ribosomal RNA is filed under the name uncultured bacterium. RNAcentral's name for it is "partial 16S ribosomal RNA". It matches the Rfam family "Bacterial small subunit ribosomal RNA", at positions 528 to 772 of the family's 1533-position model. The record is from RNAcentral.